CGGAAAACUACUGAGCUCAUCUGGGUUACUUGUUUGGUAUCUUAUUCUGCUUGAAUAUGUCAAAGUGGCACAGCAAACCUGACAAUGAAGUGAUCUGACAUCAGGUCUGCAGAAAUUGAUACCACUGCAAAAAUAGAUUCCUUGCCCUUUGCAGUCAGUGGGAGAAUAAACCAUGGACUUCCACAUGGUCUCCUGAGUUAGCACAUGCCACAGACCUCAGCAUGAUCUCUGGUAACAGUACAGACCACAGACAUCAACUGGGACCUCUGCCACAGCACAGGCUACAAACACCGUCAUAACCAUCAUGGCCCUUGGUGGAAAUACAGACUAAAGACAUCAACAUGGCCUCUGGAGCAACACAGAUCAUGGACGCCAAUAUGGUCUCUGGCAGCAGACCAUGGAUAUCAACAUGGCCUCAGGUGGCAGUGGAGACCACCCACUUCAGCAUUGCCCCCCAGCAGCAACACAGCCCACAGAUAACAACAUGGUGUCAGGCCACAACACCGACCACAGACAUCUGAAUGUCCUUUGGUGGUAACACAGACCACAGACAUCAGUAGAGUCCCCUGCUGGAGUAGGACCACAGACCCAGACCUGACCCACAGUGGCAGAAGUCUUUUCCUUUUUUAAGCUAACAUAAAAAGUUAUCAGUAAGUCAAGCAUGGUCACCCAUGCCUUUAAUACUAGCACUCAGGAAGAAGAGGCAGGUGGACCUCUGGGAGUUAAAGGACAGCCUGAUCUUCAAAGCAAGU
Mesocricetus auratus (golden hamster) is the source of this 752-nucleotide long non-coding RNA. RefSeq lists it as uncharacterized. Lineage: Eukaryota; Metazoa; Chordata; Mammalia; Rodentia; Cricetidae. The record is from RefSeq and is a predicted model, not a curated record. The transcript has 3 exons.